GAGAGCUAUUCCACCAUAAGAAAUCAGAUAGAGAGAGGGGAUGAACAUACCUUGGGGUGUGAGGCUUGGGGUGGGCUUCGAUUUCCUUGGCAUGAGCAUUGGAGGAGAUCCAACUCCUCUUUGGGUGAGAGACCUAGAAUUGUUCUAGAAUUUUUGGAUGAGGAAAAAUACAAAAGAGAAGAGAGUUUUUCUUUGAUUUUUCCUCUACCAUCUAGCACCUCC
RNAcentral lists this long non-coding RNA (222 nucleotides) under Elaeis guineensis (African oil palm). Its description in RNAcentral is "long non-coding RNA (EGUI_LNC081577)". The record is from RNAcentral. Lineage: Eukaryota; Viridiplantae; Streptophyta; Magnoliopsida; Arecales; Arecaceae.